Molecule: long non-coding RNA, 675 nt
Filed under: Pan troglodytes (chimpanzee)
Lineage: Eukaryota; Metazoa; Chordata; Mammalia; Primates; Hominidae
Description: long non-coding RNA NONPTRT007945
Source: RNAcentral
UGAGCACGCAGUCCUCCUCCGCAUGGGGCCGUGGGGCGGCAGAGCGGGUGGGAAGGACGCCUGGGAGCUGGACCCAGUCUCAGCGUGGCACUUCCCACAGGGCCGCCCAAGAGUGUCCCCGGCCGCGCCGUGCGCCCUGAGCCUCCCGCGCCGGCCCCCGCGGCCCUGGAACCCGCGCCGGUGGUGGCGCUGGUGUUGGCAGCCUUCGUGCUGGGCGCCGCGCUGGCCGCCGGGCUGGGCCUCGUCUGUGCGCACUCAGCGCCCCACGCCCCUGGCCCGCCCGCGAGAGCCUCGCCCAGCGGUCCCCAGCCCAGGAGGUCCCAGUGAGGAAGGGAUGGUGCGCCCCCAACGUGGUCGGGAGAUACACCCAGCUACCAAUUCGGGACCAGGACCAAGAGGACCGGACCCGCCUCCCUGGACCUCGGACCUGAUGGGGCCACGACCCCUGCGCUUCUCUCCUCCCCCUGUCCCUCCCACCUGUGCUCAAAAUAAACCUCUGGACUGACCGGCUAAGUUCUGGUGCAGUCAGCCUUCUCCGCUCUCCAUUACCCCCGCCCGGACCCUGCCCUAGCUCCGCUUCGACCUUCUGCCUCUGCUCCAGUUCCGUCCUGGUCUGGACUUCGCCCUCCUCUUAGAUUGUCAGUCUAGUCUAGAGCUCCUUAAAUCCCUCCUGCC